Molecule: long non-coding RNA, 491 nt
Organism: Tachysurus vachellii
Lineage: Eukaryota; Metazoa; Chordata; Actinopteri; Siluriformes; Bagridae
Exons: 3
Source: RefSeq, a predicted model, not a curated record
GACUUUAGUCUGCUCCUCUGGAGUGAAAUGUGGUGCUGAACUAACAAAUCUGUAGGAGCAUAAAUUGGAUCAUUCAGCAUGGAAUUUUUCAAAGCCUGUUCCUGGAACAGAUCCCAGACAGAGGUGAGAACAGAGUCAUCAAGUUCAAGAGCAGACCAAAUUCAUGGCCACUGAUUAUUAUUAAGUAUUAGGACUUACUGACCAAAGUGCAGCAACUGAAUCAGAAUUCUCUAAAUUUUAGGUUUUAGGCAGGCCACAUAAUUAAGAAAACAAUUAAGAACUGGCUACGCAGUUUCUGUGUUUUGGUCUUGCCAGUUCUCAGCCACUGGAUCACUAUCACAUGACAUCUACAGUACCACAAGAAAUGUCAACAAAAGCCACAAUGUUGAUGCGGACAUCUAAAACCACAAUGGAUCUGUUACACACCCCUGUUAAUAUGGCAGUUUAAAAAAAUAAACAAGUAUUAAACCAUAAAAAAAAAGGAUUUUCUU